GAUGAACGCUGGCGGCGUGCUUAACACAUGCAAGUCGAACGGAAAGGCCCUGCUAUUGUGGUUCGCUUGAGUGGCGAGCGGGUGAGUAACACGUGAGUAACCUGCCCUUGACAAUGGGAUAUCUUCACGGAACUUGGUCUCAUACCGGAUAGGAGCUCCUGCUGCGUGUUGGGCGGUGGAGAGUUUCGGCGGUGGUGGCUGGACUGGCGGCUUAUGAGCUUGUUGAUGGGGUAGUGGCUGACCAGGCCUAUGACGGGUAGCCGGCCUGAGAGGGUGACCAGCCGCAUUGCGGCUAAGGGACGGCGCAGACUCCUACGGGAGGCAGCAGUGGGGAGUAUUGCACAGUAGUGGGAGGCCUGAUGCAGCAGCGCCGCGUGCGGGAUGACGGCCUUCGAGUUGUAAACCGCUUUCGACUGUGACGAAGAGUGAGUGACGGUAACGGGUAAAGAAGCACCGGCUAACUACGUG
Molecule: ribosomal RNA, 468 nt
Filed under: uncultured bacterium
Lineage: Bacteria
Description: partial 16S ribosomal RNA
Rfam family: Bacterial small subunit ribosomal RNA
Source: RNAcentral